Non-coding RNA from Cricetulus griseus (Chinese hamster), 1666 nucleotides. Lineage: Eukaryota; Metazoa; Chordata; Mammalia; Rodentia; Cricetidae. The record is from RefSeq and is a predicted model, not a curated record.
UCAACCUCCUGAGUGCAAGCAUAUGCCACCACAUCUACUUACCAGACUUGUCUUGACCACUAACUGGCUGGGUGUCUCUGAACAGGCCACAUGUGUGAGUGCUGAGGGUCCUCCCAUCCCUGACAGGGUUUGAAUUUUCGAGCAAAUGGGAAAAGGUACUGGGAGCAACAACAGAUUGCUGCUAAACACACUUGGUUCUUGGGUGCUGCCCCUCCCUAUCCUGGCCAACAUGGGAUUCCAGUCACAAAAGGACUUCAGGCCCAGGCCCAAUGAAGCUUCUGCCCGUGACAUCCGGCUCAGAAGAGCAGAGUGAUGCUCUUACUGGGUUCCUAAUUUGCGUCCCACUCACAGAGUGGCAGGGGAAAGAGAAGUCUGAAGUACAUGAAAACACGGGCUUCGGAGCUAGAGGAAGCUGGCCUUCUUAAAUACCGUCUCCCACUUCCAUGCUGUGACCUUGAUAAACCUAUUCAAGAUACCCACCUUGCUGAUUAGAAAAAAGAUUAAGAUGAAAUGGACUCGGCGCACCUGGUAGGCACUCCCCUUAAUGAUUACAACUGAAGAACUAUCUCAGAGGUUUCUGACCUAGGGCUAAAUUGCUUUCACUCUCUAAUGACUAAUGGAUUGGCGGGAUGGUCUAAGCUUUUGUCCUGGCCACCUGAACUGCUCAGCCCUGGGAGUCUUGACAAGCAAUUUCCUUGGAAUUAGCUUAAUAAUGCCUCGUAGGUGUGUGAUGCAUUUCAAAGAACUUUCCCAUCAUUAUCUUGGGUCCUAGCCGGCAGCUGGGCUCAGAGAGAAGUGGCUUGCUCCAGGUCACAUGGCACAUGAGCCUGCAGCUUUCCCUGGUGUUAACUUCUAAGUGAACAGAAGGCAGACUACUGUGGUAGAGUAAAAAAGGUCCCUCAGAACUGAGGCUCACUGGAGGCACAGUCUGUAGCCUGCAGUACUCAGCAAGUCCGGGAUUUUCACCCUCGAUGGGCUGUAUCCAGAGAACACAGCACAGCCUAACACACCAUCCAAGGUGGAGAUAACCAGUCUUAAGGUUAUUUGGGGCAAGGGUUUCUCACAUGGGAACUCCCGACCUCCAGAAGGUUGGAGGUCUGCUAUUACUCUUAAAAAAUUCAUGUGUGCCUUCGGAAGGAUGCUCAUAUCGUCCUUCAACUCAUCAGAGGAAAUCAGGACCCAGAUCAGGAUUAAAAACUAUUCAUCAGACUGUAGGAUGAUUGGCAAAGACAGAGGUUGCACCCCCCCCCUUUGACCCUGGUUCACCCCAAAAGGCUUACUAGGGUUAAUGCACAAAGGGUAAUGACAUGACCCUUUUGUUAUGAAAUAUUAGUAACUAUGCCAAGACCCAACACACAGAGAUCAUAUAAACAGGAAUUCAGUGAGGCCAGGAGCCUGGUGCAUCCCACCUGGGGAGGCACCGUGUUGGGGGUGAAUAGAUGGGACAUGGGCUGAUGUCUUUUUCUUUGCUGGCCAGUAAGAUCCUAGUCAUGCCCAACAAAAUCCUAGUCAGUUUUCUCAAACUCACAGGUCAAAGUUAAAAGUUUAGAGCUCGAAGGGAACGUGCAGCAUUGCUUCCCAGCUAGCCUGCAUCUCCGACAGAGGCUGAAGAUUUGAGAGACCCUGGUUUUGGUUUGGUUUUUCCAAUACAGGCUCUUACUAUGUA